UACGUAGGGUGCAAGCGUUGCCCGGAUUUAUUGGGCGUAAAGGGCGCGCAGGCGGCUACGCACGUCCGUUGUGAAAUCGCUCGGCUCAACUGGGCGGGGUCGGCGGAUACGGCGUAGCUGGAGCAAGCUAGGGGGCAAUGGAAUUCCCGGUGUAGUGGUGGAAUGCGUAGAUAUCGGGAGGAACACCGGUGGCGAAGGCGGCAUCCUGGACCAUGACUGACGCUGAGGAGCGAAAGCCAGGGGAGCAAACGGG
Molecule: ribosomal RNA, 253 nt
Filed under: uncultured bacterium
Lineage: Bacteria
Description: partial 16S ribosomal RNA
Rfam family: Bacterial small subunit ribosomal RNA
Source: RNAcentral